Liolophura sinensis is the source of this 461-nucleotide long non-coding RNA. RefSeq lists it as uncharacterized. The record is from RefSeq and is a predicted model, not a curated record. The transcript is spliced from 5 exons. Lineage: Eukaryota; Metazoa; Mollusca; Polyplacophora; Chitonida; Chitonidae.
GAGCUUAAAGGCAACAGAUGUCCUGACAACACCACAUGUAACAAGGGCCUGUGUCAGUGUUCUAAGGGAGCCACACAGUCAUCUAAAGGACAAUGUUUAGGUAAACCAUCAAAAGUCCAUGUCACCACAGAGGGAGACAGUCCAACCCAAAGUAAGUCCGCACGAAGUACAAGACCGACUUCUACGAUCCUAGCUGCGAACGAAGCUAACACACUACAAGGCGAUGAUUCCCAAACACUAACUAUAGGACUGGUUGCUGGAAUCGGAGGGGUGGUCCUAGUGGCUGUCAUAGUCUUGGUUGUUGUAGUCCUUGCUCGGAGAAAAAAGAAUAAAACAGCCAAUGACAACAAAUUGGCUAGGUUAAGGAGGACAGCCAAGUCCUGCCCAUGCAUCCAGCGCUCCUAGCCAUCACACCUACCAGAGCGUCGUUGACCCGCCAUUACCUGUCAGUGUGGGAUGGA